AUGCAGACAACAAGCCAACGACAUCAGGUUGUCGACAGCAGCGACAUCAAUGGAUGGAGAUACACCUGCUGCAAUGGACUUUGUUGUCUCAUCGGUAUGGUCGCCUGUGACAGUACAAGGGAGCUUUCAUUUUUUGUUGAAAUCUCUGAAGAAUUUUAUGGAAGCGGGGACUCCUCUGGAGCUUGUGGCGGCGUUCAUGGCGGGAUUCCUCGUACUGUACCUCAACUACCUGUACAAGCGAUGGGGCGGGCAGGACGAUGCGCACUGGACGGGAUCCAGCACGGUGGCCGGACCGACGAGGAAGAGGACCAACAGAGGGGGACUUGGCAAGGCUGCAUGCUGGCAGCCAUGCCGAUGUUCAAAUCUAAGGCGUGUGUGCGUGCCGGCUGCAGCAAGAUCAGGGAGGAGUGCACGGUGUUCCUUGGCGCCAUGCAUGAUGGAUCUGGCACGGCGGUCGGGCCGACGAGGACCAGCGGAUGGGUUCGAUGA
This 489-nucleotide ribosomal RNA is filed under the name Triticum aestivum (bread wheat). RNAcentral's name for it is "partial small subunit ribosomal RNA". Lineage: Eukaryota; Viridiplantae; Streptophyta; Magnoliopsida; Poales; Poaceae. The record is from RNAcentral.